RNAcentral lists this ribosomal RNA (472 nucleotides) under uncultured bacterium. RNAcentral describes it as "partial 16S ribosomal RNA". It matches the Rfam family "Bacterial small subunit ribosomal RNA", at positions 30 to 507 of the family's 1533-position model. The record is from RNAcentral.
AGUGAACGCUGGCGGUAGGCCUAACACAUGCAAGUCGAACGGCAGCACAGUAAGAGCUUGCUCUUACGGGUGGCGAGUGGCGGACGUGUGAGGAAUACAUCGGAAUCUACUUUUUCGUGGGGGAUAACGUAGGGAAACUUACGCUAAUACCGCAUACGACCUACGGGUGAAAGCAGGGGAUCUUCGGACCUGGCGCGUUUGAAUGGGCCGGUGUCGGAUUAGCUAGUUGGCGGGGUACAGGCCUACCAAGGCGACGAUGGGGAGCUGGACUGAGAGGGUGGUCGGCCACAGUGGGACGGAGAUACGGCCCAGACUCCUACGGGAGGCAGCAGUGGGGAAUAUGGCAGAAUGGGCGGAAGCAUGAUGCAGCAACGCCGCGUGCGGGAUGACUGCCGUCGGGUUGUAAACCGCUUUCGCCUGUGACGAAGCGUGAGUGACGGGAAUGGGUAAAGAAGAACCGGCUAACUACGUG